CAUGACUCCAAGCAAAGAGCUAGUCCUUGGCUUUGAGGGGGCCCAAAGUGAAAUAAAAGGGGCGUGUCACCUCUCAGAUGUAGUCUAUAGUCAAAAACUCCUCUCCUCAGCCACAGUGAUCUCUCUGCCAUAAGCAAAAAUCUUUGUAUGCAGAAGAAUCAACUUCUGCUGGGAUUAAGAACCAUCACAGACCUCACUUCCAUCCUCACCAAGUGUAAGGUAUUUCUAGAGCAUCAGUCACUGGAGUAUCUGUAUCUGAUAAGUUCAAAACAAAAGACCAAUGGAAAAAAGGAAAACAAGAGCAAAGACAAAAGAAUUUCCAGGAACUAGACCAACCAACAAACCCUUGCCAUUUGUGGUGGAUGUGUUCCUGAUACCACUACAAAGAGUGAAAUGUGAACACUGGGAGCCACGACUCCAUGCCUCCACAGCAAGCUCCAAAAUGCUUCAUAGAGGCUGGGAGCCACAGGGAACUCACCAUAGCUGCCAGGAGCCAAAGAGAUCUCACUGCAAUUCCUGGCAGCUGUGAGAGUUCCCUGCAGUUCCCAGCAGCUGCAAGAAACUCAUUGUGGCUCCUGGUAACCGCUGGGAACUCACAGCAGCUGCCAAGAGCUGUGGGGGGCUCACCACAGCUCCUAGCUCCUACCUCCCACCUCUCCUCCCCCAGCCUGGACAGGAGACUCCCACAAAUAUGCAGAACUAUGAAUAGCAAUUCCAUGAAUCUGGAGAAUAUCCUGUACAAUUAUACCAGGGAUUCAACAGGACUGUAGGCAUACGUAUCCAUUAUACUUUCCAUCAAUCUUUCUUGUAAUUUGUACUUUUGAGGGAAGUUAUGUUAGGUCCAGAACAAAUUAAAAUGUCAACUUUUUUAAUUCUGUAGGCACCACAGUAAGCAAAAUGCUCUGUGUGGAAGUUUCAUACAUGGUAACUUGAAAAUUAUUUGACUAAUAUUUAUUAAGCUCUUCAGAAGAACUCUACUCUAGGACAAGAUUGAUCAUACCAAGUUUUGAGAAGAUCAUAUUUAUUGAAACUUUCGAAUGCCUAGUAAUGGUGAGCUGGUUCCAAUGGUUAAUUACUCUCACUGUUAAAUUUACACCUUAUUUCCUGUUUGAAUUUGUUUAGUUUCAGCUUCCAGCUGUCCGUUUGUGUUUCACUUUUCUACUAGAUUGAAGACACUAUUCACUGAUCCCCGUUUAGGUAGUUAGUAAUCAAGUCACCCUUAACAUUCUCUUUGUUGAGCUAAAUUGAUUGAGCUUCUUGAGUCUGUCACUAAAAGGCAUGUUUUCUAACCUUCUAAUCAUUCUUAUGGGGCUUUUCUCAAUUUAUCAACACCCUUCUUAAAUUGUGGGCACAGAAGUGGACACAUUAUUUCAGCAGCAGCCACAUCAGUGCCAGGUACAGAGGUAAACUAACUUUACUCCUACUUGAGUCCCCUGGAUCUCAUUAGCUCUUUUGGCCACAGCUUCACAUGGGAAGCUCGUGUUCUGCUGAUUAUCCUCCAUGAAACUCAAGUCUUUUUCAGAGUUGUUGCUUCCUGGGAUAAAUAUAGCCUAUGUUCUUUGUUCUCUGAUGUAUACAUUUACAUUUAGUCUUAUAACAUGCACAUUGUUUGCUUGCAUCCAGUUACUACUCCACCAUCUCUUGUGUCAUCAUCCUCACAUUAUGCUCGCAGAUUUUGCAUGUUCUUCCAGGUUAUUAAUGAAAACAUUAAAUUGUAUACAAGGCCAAGAACUGUCCAUGUAGGUCCCCAAUGGAAACAGACCCAUUCAAUGGUUAUUCCCUAUUUAUAGUUAUAUUCUGAGGCCUAUCAGCCAGUUUUUAUUCCAAUUAAUGUGUGUCAUGUCAAUUUUAUAUUAUUCUUGAUUCUUAAUCAAAAUGUCAUGCAGAACCAAGUCAAAUGCCUUGCAGCCCUCAAGAGUUGAAUCUGUGAGUAUGAGAUGUACAUGGAUGGAGAAAUAGAGUGCCUGUUAUUUCGAAAAAUAUUUUGAAAUAAUGGGUGCGUUUCUAAUAUGUAGGGUAGCUAUUUCGGGAUACCUCAAUAUCCCGAAAUAUCUUUGCUGUGUAGUCUUACCUGUAAUUGUUUGGGAACAGCUAUUAACAGCCAGUAGAUGGCGCCUUCAAUCUCCAUGGUUAUUUUACAGAAUAUAUUUUAUAAUUCCUUGAUAGCUGAGUCAGAUUCUGCUGGUCCACAGGAAUGGUAAUUAUUAUAACUGUGUUGCUCUCAAAUUACAUUGGUGUAACUGACAACAGAAUCUGGGCCAGCCUUUUUGAAACAAGUCACCAAACAAUAGAUAGAUUUGUCUUAUAAUUACAACAAUAAAGCAACAUUCAGCUUAUUUCAUUUCUCAGGAAGGACACCCAGCAGACACUGAAUUUAAGCAAUAUCAGUUCAUCAUUCAAACUGUCAUGCCAGCUCCACCAACACCCAAGCUUAGCACAAUUCAGUAGAAAUAAAAUCUCAUUUUGGACAGCAUUUUGAGUGCUAGAAAUAUCCUUCAGUAGUUCUUCAGCCCAAGGAGAGAUUUGAAAUGAGCAGUUCGUGCAAAACAUGUCAGACUCGGAAAUUAAAAAUAUAAAAAGCAAGGGAGUUUGAAACUCAUUCUCAAGGGCAAAGAGGAUGGAUAAUGCUUUCCAAGAGAUGUCUGAAUGAGUGACCAAACGAAUCUCUGUGUUCAUAUCCUAUACACCAUUGUAAUAACCUUUGUACAAAAUAUGCUGUAUAAGAUAUCAUUUGAAAAAUCUCACUGAUCUAUAAUAUCAUGAUCAAGUGUGUGCAAGCAACAUUAUAUGUAAAGUUAUAAACAUAAGGGCUACGUCUACACUGGCCCCUUUUCCGAAAGG
Pelodiscus sinensis (Chinese soft-shelled turtle) is the source of this 2841-nucleotide non-coding RNA. NCBI's taxonomy places the organism in Eukaryota, Metazoa, Chordata, Testudines, Trionychidae. The record is from RefSeq and is a predicted model, not a curated record.